This 200-nucleotide ribosomal RNA is filed under the name Ureaplasma parvum serovar 3. RNAcentral describes it as "partial 23S ribosomal RNA". It matches the Rfam family "Bacterial large subunit ribosomal RNA", at positions 2527 to 2726 of the family's 2925-position model. The record is from RNAcentral. Lineage: Bacteria; Bacillati; Mycoplasmatota; Mycoplasmoidales; Mycoplasmoidaceae.
CGAUGUCGACUCAUCUCAUCCUGGAGCUGAAGCAGGUUCCAAGGGUUCGGCUGUUCGCCGAUUAAAGAGAUACGUGAGUUGGGUUCAAACCGUCGUGAGACAGGUUGGUCCCUAUCUGUCAUGCCCGUAGGAAGAUUGAGAAGAGCUGUUCCUAGUACGAGAGGACCGGAAUGGACACACCUCUUGUGAUCCUGUUGUCG